CUUAAUUAUUUAAUAAAUUAUUUUGCGGAAUACUUUGAAUAGGUUCGCGGUACACUGGUGUUCCACGGAACGGCAGUUGAGAAUCAUUGUGUUAAAUGUUAUAUUAGAUGUUUUGUCUUUGUUAAUUCCAAGACACAAUAUGCCUUUUUGUCACUUGCCAUUUUGCUACACUAGCAUUCCUAACAAUGUGGCAUGCAGCUUGCACAUGUCCCAAGAGCUAAUAAAACUUUUAGAGUUUUGUUAUUCAUUGAUACCUUAUACAAUAAGCACUGGAUAUUGUAAUCAGUUAUGUAAUAGAAUCAAAUUUAGUAGCAUGGAAACAAAUCAGCAAAUUCAGUUUUUUUAUCUUCAUUUA
This 355-nucleotide long non-coding RNA is filed under the name Androctonus crassicauda. Lineage: Eukaryota; Metazoa; Arthropoda; Arachnida; Scorpiones; Buthidae. The record is from RNAcentral.